RNAcentral lists this ribosomal RNA (468 nucleotides) under uncultured bacterium. RNAcentral's name for it is "partial 16S ribosomal RNA". It matches the Rfam family "Bacterial small subunit ribosomal RNA", at positions 28 to 507 of the family's 1533-position model. The record is from RNAcentral.
GACGAACGCUGGCGGCGUGCUUAACACAUGCAAGUCGAACGGUGAAGCUCCAGCUUGCUGGAGUGGAUCUGUGGCGAACGGGUGAGUAACACGUGAGCAACCUGCCCCUGACUCUGGAAUAAGCGCUGGAAACGGCGUCUAAUACUGGAUACGAGAAGGGUCCGCAUGGGCACUUUCUGGAAAGUUUUUCGGUUGGGGAUGGGCUCGCGGCCUAUCAGCUUGUUGGUGAGGUAAUGGCUCACCAAGGCGACGACGGGUAGCCGGCCUGAGAGGGCGACCGGCCACACUGGGACUGAGACACGGCCCAGACUCCUACGGGAGGCAGCAGUGGGGAAUAUUGCACAAUGGGCGAAAGCCUGAUGCAGCGACGCCGCGUGAGGGAUGACGGCCUUCGGGUUGUAAACCUCUUUCAGCAGGGAAGAAGCGAAAGUGACGGUACCUGCAGAAGAAGCACCGGCUAACUACGUG